UUACUGAGACACGUCCAGACUCCUACGGGAGGCAGCAGUAGGGAAUCUUCCACAAUGGACGAAAGUCUGAUGGAGCAACGCCGCGUGAGUGAAGAAGGGUUUCGGCUCGUAAAACUCUGUUGUUAAAGAAGAACAUAUCUGAGAGUAACUGUUCAGG
This 157-nucleotide ribosomal RNA is filed under the name Lactiplantibacillus plantarum. Its description in RNAcentral is "partial 16S ribosomal RNA". It matches the Rfam family "Bacterial small subunit ribosomal RNA", at positions 316 to 471 of the family's 1533-position model. The record is from RNAcentral. Lineage: Bacteria; Bacillati; Bacillota; Bacilli; Lactobacillales; Lactobacillaceae.